This is a long non-coding RNA of Anopheles nili, 452 nucleotides long. RefSeq lists it as uncharacterized. The record is from RefSeq and is a predicted model, not a curated record. NCBI's taxonomy places the organism in Eukaryota, Metazoa, Arthropoda, Insecta, Diptera, Culicidae. The transcript has 3 exons.
AGAGAGGAAAAGAGAGAGGAAGGUGGACGAGGAAAAACAGCACGGCCCGGUAAGUGGACCGCCCAGAUGAAAACCGGAAUCACUCGAAGCCGACGAUCAACGGAAUGCUAGACCACAUGGCUAUAAGGAAAACGAAAGAGAGAGAGAGAGAGAAAGAGAGAACGAGAGGGAGAGAGAGAGAGAGAGAGAGAGAGAGAGAAGGCAAAUCAGGGGCUUGUUUGUUGUAUAUCUGUUCGCCGACGGUGUAAUUAGUAGAGCGCGGCUUCGAGCAGCACCGAGCGCGCUACAAGUGUAUCUAGUACUGAACCUAGAAGUGCCACAUGGCUGCGAUCGUGGCCUCGUCGUCGUCCAACUGUAGCGUGUUCGAUAACGGUUAUCAGCGUCGUAACAAUCGCCCUGUAUCGGGCCAACAUGGCCGGGCCGGGCAUCAUCACCAGCAUCAUCACUAUCGC